CUCUGUUUAUGGUUUGUUUUAAAACCAUAACACAAUGUCACUAACUUGUCCAUUCAUACAUCACCCGUAUCACAGUCAUUGAACACAGAACAAGAUGUAGUCACAACUUUCUAUUAUAUGAGAGUUCUUAGAAGGUCGAGUUUCUAUCCCUUCAAACUCCCUCUGUUUCAGCUAUGUAUUGAUAUCCAUAUCCAUGUUACAUCAUAAUGACUUGAACAUAAUAUUUACAUAUAUAUGACAAUAAUAAAUGAAUAAAAUAUGUACAAGUGUUGAUCCAAUAAACAAUGUAAACCAAUGAGAAAGAUCUACUUGCUCAGCUACAGUCAUGUCUUUGUAGAUAAAAUCAAGAUCGUAACUUUCUAAAUAAUAAUAACUGUGUAUCACUAUCAUAUUCCUAAUAAAGACACAUAUAGCAUAGUAUUUUCA
Molecule: non-coding RNA, 426 nt
Organism: Pelobates cultripes (western spadefoot toad)
Lineage: Eukaryota; Metazoa; Chordata; Amphibia; Anura; Pelobatidae
Source: the annotation of a GenBank genome assembly